GAUGAACGCUGGCGGCGUGCCUAAUACAUGCAAGUCGAGCGAACGGACGAGAAGCUUGCUUUUCUGAUGUUAGCGGCGGACGGGUGAGUAACACGUGGAUAACCUACCUAUAAGACUGGGAUAACUUCGGGAAACCGGAGCUAAUACCGGAUAAUAUUUUGAACCGCAUGGUUCAAAAGUGAAAGACGGUCUUGCUGUCACUUAUAGAUGGAUCCGCGCUGCAUUAGCUAGUUGGUAAGGUAACGGCUUACCAAGGCAACGAUGCAUAGCCGACCUGAGAGGGUGAUCGGCCACACUGGAACUGAGACACGGUCCAGACUCCUACGGGAGGCAGCAGUAGGGAAUCGUCCGCAAUGGGCGAAAGCCUGACGGAGCAAGGCCGCGUGAGUGAUGAAGGUCUUCGGAUCGUAAAACUCUGUUAUUAGGGAAGAACAUAUGUGUAAGUAACUGUGCACAUAUUGACGGUACCUAAUCAGAAAGCCACGGCUAACUACGUG
This 497-nucleotide ribosomal RNA is filed under the name uncultured bacterium. RNAcentral's name for it is "partial 16S ribosomal RNA". It matches the Rfam family "Bacterial small subunit ribosomal RNA", at positions 28 to 507 of the family's 1533-position model. The record is from RNAcentral.